RNAcentral lists this long non-coding RNA (771 nucleotides) under Fukomys damarensis (Damara mole-rat). RNAcentral describes it as "lncRNA (ENSFDAG00000024877.1)". The record is from RNAcentral. Lineage: Eukaryota; Metazoa; Chordata; Mammalia; Rodentia; Bathyergidae.
GGAAGGUAGGUGUAUCUCCAUAAUCUGUUCCUGGCUGGGGGCCUCUAAAGGGCCAAGGCACCCCACAGCCCACAGAGCUGCCUCGGGAGGCCAGGGGUCUGCUUAGCCAAGUACCCACACAAGGCACGCAGGAAGUGGCCCAGGGGCAGCGUGGAGGCGGAGGGGCCAUCCAAGAGGAGCUGGGCUUCUGCAAUCUGUUUCCCACUGCUCCUGCCUAUGAAUCAUCUACAUCCACACUCCCUCACAACCUGCGUAUUACAUAAAUAAUGUACAAAGUGAGCAAAAUCAAGCUACCACCACCACAGCUGAGUUUGACCUUGAAUUAUCAUAGGAGAGUCAGGAGCCGGAGCUGCUUCACAGAGUCGUGGGAUCUCUCCAGAACGGACCAUGUACCCAAAGCUCUGGCGAGAGAAGGAGAGAGCGAGCACUUCUUCAACAAACUGCUUCUUUUGGUAUGGCAGGCUCUCGACAUGGAGCUGAAUUCCAGAUCCAACACAGGUCUCUGCAAUUUACACCUAGAAAAUUUCUUUUUUUCUUUUUUCUCUCUUUUUUUGAGACAGCGUAUCACUAUGUAGUUGAGACUGACCUGGAACUCACUAUGUAGCCCAGGCUCAUCUCAAACUCACAGAGAUCCUCCUGCCUCAGCCUCCCGAGUGCUGGGAUUACAGACGUGCACCACCAUGCCGGGCAAAAAUUUCAAAAGUAUACAUUUUUCUUUUAAGUGUUAGUAUUUACUCCAAAGGAGAAGCCUUAAAAAGAAAAGAUAAAUAG